UACGCUGGCGGCACGCCUAACACAUGCAAGUCGAACGAAGUAGCAAUACUUAGUGGCAGACGGGUGAGUAACAUGUAGGUAUCUACCCUAUGGUUUGGAAUAACACGAGGAAACUUGUGCUAAUACCAAAUAAGUCUUUACGGAGAAAGCUUUAUGCGCCAUUGGAUGAGCCUGCACUUGAUUAGUUUGUUGGUGGGGUAAUGGCCUACCAAGACAAUGAUCAAUAGCUGAUUUGAGAGGAUGAUCAGCCACAUUGGGACUGAGACACGGCCCAAACUCCUACGGGAGGCAGCAGUGGGGAAUCUUGCACAAUGGGGGAAACCCUGAUGCAGCGAUGCCGCGUGAGUGAAGAAGGCCUUUGGGUUGUAAAGCUCUUUCGUCGGGGAAGAAAAUGACUGUACCCGAAUAAGA
This 411-nucleotide ribosomal RNA is filed under the name uncultured bacterium. RNAcentral's name for it is "bacterial SSU rRNA". It matches the Rfam family "Bacterial small subunit ribosomal RNA", at positions 33 to 488 of the family's 1533-position model. The record is from RNAcentral.